Molecule: unclassified non-coding RNA, 377 nt
Filed under: plant metagenome
Description: partial contains 5.8S ribosomal RNA, internal transcribed spacer 2, and large subunit ribosomal RNA
Rfam family: 5.8S ribosomal RNA (bases 1-105)
Source: RNAcentral
GAAAUGCGAUAAGUAAUGUGAAUUGCAGAAUUCAGUGAAUCAUCGAAUCUUUGAACGCACCUUGCGCUCCUUGGUAUUCCUUGGAGCAUGCCUGUUUGAGUAUCAUGAAAUCUUCAAAGUAAAUCUUUUGUUAACUCAAUUGGUUUCUACUUUGGUAUUGGAGGUCUUUGCAGCUUCACACCUGCUCCUCUUGUUCAUUAGCUGGAUCUCAGUGUUAUGCUUGGUUCCACUCGGCGUGAUAAGUUAUCUAUCGCUGAGGACACUGUAAAAGGUGGCCAAGGUAAAUGCAGAUGAACCGCUUCUAAUAGUCCAUUGACUUGGACAAUACUUUUAUGAUCUGAUCUCAAAUCAGGUAGGACUACCCGCUGAACUUAAGC